AGAGUUUGAUCCUGGCUCAGGACGAACGCUGGCGGCGUGCUUAACACAUGCAAGUCGAACGAUGAAAGCAGGAGCUUGCUUUUGCUGGAUUAGUGGCGAACGGGUGAGUAACACGUGAGUAACCUGCCCUUGACUCUGGGAUAAGCGUUGGAAACGACGUCUAAUACCGGAUACGAGCUAGGACCGCAUGGUCAUUAGCUGGAAAGAAUUUCGGUCAAGGAUGGACUCGCGGCCUAUCAGCUAGUUGGUGAGGUAACGGCUCACCAAGGCGACGACGGGUAGCCGGCCUGAGAGGGUGACCGGCCACACUGGGACUGAGACACGGCCCAGACUCCUACGGGAGGCAGCAGUGGGGAAUAUUGCACAAUGGGCGCAAGCCUGAUGCAGCAACGCCGCGUGAGGGACGACGGCCUUCGGGUUGUAAACCUCUUUUAGCAGGGAAGAAGCGCAAGUGACGGUACCUGCAGAAAAAGCACCGGCUAACUACGUGCCAGCAGCCGCGGUAAUACGUAGGGUGCAAGCGUUGUCCGGAAUUAUUGGGCGUAAAGAGCUCGUAGGCGGUUUGUCGCGUCUGCUGUGAAAAUCCGAGGCUCAACCUCGGACCUGCAGUGGGUACGGGCAAACUAGAGUGCGGUAGGGGAGAUUGGAAUUCCUGGUGUAGCGGUGGAAUGCGCAGAUAUCAGGAGGAACACCAAUGGCGAAGGCAGAUCUCUGGGCCGUAACUGACGCUGAGGAGCGAAAGCGUGGGGAGCGAACAGGAUUAGAUACCCUGGUAGUCCACGCCGUAAACGGUGGGAACUAGAUGUGGGGUCCGUUCCACGGAUUCCGUGUCGCAGCUAACGCAUUAAGUUCCCCGCCUGGGGAGUACGGCCGCAAGGCUAAAACUCAAAGGAAUUGACGG
This 901-nucleotide ribosomal RNA is filed under the name uncultured marine bacterium. RNAcentral's name for it is "bacterial SSU rRNA". It matches the Rfam family "Bacterial small subunit ribosomal RNA", at positions 8 to 916 of the family's 1533-position model. The record is from RNAcentral.